This 771-nucleotide ribosomal RNA is filed under the name Pseudomonas sp. RNAcentral describes it as "bacterial SSU rRNA". It matches the Rfam family "Bacterial small subunit ribosomal RNA", at positions 20 to 786 of the family's 1533-position model. The record is from RNAcentral. Lineage: Bacteria; Pseudomonadati; Pseudomonadota; Gammaproteobacteria; Pseudomonadales; Pseudomonadaceae.
CUGCUCAGAUUGAACGCUGGCGGCAGGCCUAACACAUGCAAGUCGAGCGGGGUCAAGGUGCUUGCACUUUGACUUAGCGGCGGACGGGUGAGUAAUGCCUAGGAAUCUGCCUGGUAGUGGGGGACAACGUUUCGAAAGGAACGCUAAUACCGCAUACGUCCUACGGGAGAAAGCAGGGGACCUUCGGGCCUUGCGCUAUCAGAUGAGCCUAGGUCGGAUUAGCUAGUUGGUGAGGUAAUGGCUCACCAAGGCUACGAUCCGUAACUGGUCUGAGAGGAUGAUCAGUCACACUGGAACUGAGACACGGUCCAGACUCCUACGGGAGGCAGCAGUGGGGAAUAUUGGACAAUGGGCGAAAGCCUGAUCCAGCCAUGCCGCGUGUGUGAAGAAGGUCUUAGGAUCGUAAAGCACUUUAAGUUGGGAGGAAGGGCAGUAAAUUAAUACUUUGCUGUUUUGACGUUACCGACAGAAUAAGCACCGGCUAACUCUGUGCCAGCAGCCGCGGUAAUACAGAGGGUGCAAGCGUUAAUCGGAAUUACUGGGCGUAAAGCGCGCGUAGGUGGUUCGUUAAGUUGGAUGUGAAAUCCCCGGGCUCAACCUGGGAACUGCAUUCAAAACUGUCGAGCUAGAGUAUGGUAGAGGGUGGUGGAAUUUCCUGUGUAGCGGUGAAAUGCGUAGAUAUAGGAAGGAACACCAGUGGCGAAGGCGACCACCUGGACUGAUACUGACACUGAGGUGCGAAAGCGUGGGGAGCAAACAGGAUUAGAUACC